UCCUAGUGAUUAGAGUUUGAUCAUGGCUCAGAACGUACGCUGGCGGCACGCCUAACACAUGCAAGUCGAACGAAGUAGCAAUACUUAGUGGCAGACGGGUGAGUAACAUGUAGGUAUCUGCCCUUUGGCCUGGAAUAACACGAGGAAACUUGUGCUAAUACCGGAUAAGUCUUUACGGAGAAAGCUUUAUGCACCAUUGGAUGAGCCUGCACUUGAUUAGUUUGUUGGUGGGGUAAUGGCCUACCAAGACUGUGAUCAAUAGCUGAUUUGAGAGGAUGAUCAGCCACAUUGGGACUGAGACACGGCCCAAACUCCUACGGGAGGCAGCAGUGGGGAAUCUUGCACAAUGGAGGAAACUCUGAUGCAGCGAUGCCGCGUGAGUGAAGAAGGCCUUUGGGUUGUAAAGCUCUUUCGUCGGGGAAGAAAAUGACUGUACCCGAAUAAGAAGGUCCGGCUAACUUCGUGCCAGCAGCCGCGGUAAUACGAAGGGACCUAGCGUAGUUCGGAAUUACUGGGCUUAAAGAGUUCGUAGGUGGUUGAAAAAGUUGGUGGUGAAAUCCCAGAGCUUAACUCUGGAACUGCCAUCAAAACUUUUCAGCUAGAGUAUGAUAGAGGAAAGCAGAAUUUCUAGUGUAGAGGUGAAAUUCGUAGAUAUUAGAAAGAAUACCAAUUGCGAAGGCAGCUUUCUGGAUCAUUACUGACACUGAGGAACGAAAGCAUGGGUAGCGAAGAGGAUUAGAUACCCUCGUAGUCCAUGCCGUAAACGAUGUGUGUUAGACGUUGGAAAUUUAUUUUCGGUGUCGCAGCGAAAGCGAUAAACACACCGCCUGGGGAGUACGACCGCAAGGUUAAAACUCAAAUGAAUUGACGGGGACCCGCACAAGUAGUGGAGCAUGUGGUUUAAUUCGAAGAUACGCGCAGAACCUUACCAACACUUGACAUGUUCGUCGCGACUCUAAGAGAUUAGAGUUUUCGGUUCGGCCGGACGAAACACAGGUGCUGCAUGGCUGUCGUCAGCUCGUGUCGUGAGAUGUUGGGUUAAGUCCCGCAACGAGCGCAACCCUCACUUUUAGUUGCCAUCAUUUAGUUGGGCACUCUGAAAGAACUGCCAGUGAUAAGCUGGAGGAAGGUGGGGAUGACGUCAAGUCCUCAUGGCCCUUACGUGUUGGGCUACACACGUGCUACAAUGGUAUCUACAACAGGAAGCAAGACUGCGAGGUCAAGCAAAUCCUUAAAAGAUACCUCAGUUCGGAUUGCACUCUGCAACUCGAGUGCAUGAAGCUGGAAUUACUAGUAAUCGUGGAUCAGCGUGCCACGGUGAAUGCGUUCCCGGGUCUUGUAGACACCGCCC
RNAcentral lists this ribosomal RNA (1351 nucleotides) under uncultured bacterium. Its description in RNAcentral is "bacterial SSU rRNA". It matches the Rfam family "Bacterial small subunit ribosomal RNA". The record is from RNAcentral.